UGGGGAAUAUUGGUCAAUGGAGGCAACUCUGAACCAGCCAUGCCGCGUGUAGGACGAAUGCCCUAUGGGUUGUAAACUACUUUUAUUGGGGAAGAAACCUUUCUACGUGUAGAGAGCUGACGGUACCCAAGGAAUAAGGACCGGCAAACUCCGUGCCAGCAGCCGCGGUAAUACGGAGGGUCCAAGCGUUAUCCGGAAUCAUUGGGUUUAAAGGGUGCGCAGGCGGUAAAGUAAGUCAGUGGUGAAAUCUCUCGGCUCAACCGAGAAACUGCCAUUGAUACUGCUAUACUUGAAUAUAGUUGAAGUAGGCGGAAUGUGACAUGUAGCGGUGAAAUGCUUAGAUAUGUCACAGAACACCGAUAGCGAAGGCAGCUUACUAAACUAACAUUGACGCUCAUGCACGAAAGCGUGGGGAGCAAACAGGAUUAGAUACCCUCGUAGUCCCUGAGCGGGCUGGCAAGGCGCAU
RNAcentral lists this ribosomal RNA (467 nucleotides) under uncultured bacterium. Its description in RNAcentral is "bacterial SSU rRNA". It matches the Rfam family "Bacterial small subunit ribosomal RNA", at positions 355 to 825 of the family's 1533-position model. The record is from RNAcentral.